This 253-nucleotide ribosomal RNA is filed under the name uncultured bacterium. RNAcentral describes it as "partial 16S ribosomal RNA". It matches the Rfam family "Bacterial small subunit ribosomal RNA", at positions 524 to 776 of the family's 1533-position model. The record is from RNAcentral.
UACGAAGGGGGCUAGCGUUGCUCGGAAUUACUGGGCGUAAAGGGCGCGUAGGCGGAUCGUUAAGUUGGGGGUGAAAGCCCGGGGCUCAACCUCGGAAUUGCCUUCAAUACUGGCGAUCUUGAGUAUGGGAGAGGUGUGUGGAACUCCGAGUGUAGAGGUGAAAUUCGUAGAUAUUCGGAAGAACACCAGUGGCGAAGGCGACACACUGGCCCAUUACUGACGCUGAGGCUCGAAAGCGUGGGGAGCAAACAGG